RNAcentral lists this ribosomal RNA (637 nucleotides) under uncultured Bacteroidales bacterium. Its description in RNAcentral is "bacterial SSU rRNA". It matches the Rfam family "Bacterial small subunit ribosomal RNA", at positions 51 to 678 of the family's 1533-position model. Lineage: Bacteria; Pseudomonadati; Bacteroidota; Bacteroidia; Bacteroidales. The record is from RNAcentral.
ACACAUGCAAGUCGAGGGGCAUCGGGAUUGAAGCUUGCUUCAAUUGCCGGCGACCGGCGCACGGGUGCGUAACGCGUAUGUAACCUACCUAUAACAGGGGCAUAACACUGAGAAAUUGGUACUAAUUCCCCAUAAUAUUCGGAGAGGCAUCUCUCCGGGUUGAAAACUCCGGUGGUUAUAGAUGGACAUGCGUUGUAUUAGCUAGUUGGUGAGGUAACGGCUCACCAAGGCAACGAUACAUAGGGGGACUGAGAGGUUAACCCCCCACACUGGUACUGAGACACGGACCAGACUCCUACGGGAGGCAGCAGUGAGGAAUAUUGGUCAAUGGACGCAAGUCUGAACCAGCCAUGCCGCGUGCAGGAAGACGGCUCUAUGAGUUGUAAACUGCUUUUGUACGAGGGUAAACUCACCUACGUGUAGGUGACUGAAAGUAUCGUACGAAUAAGGAUCGGCUAACUCCGUGCCAGCAGCCGCGGUAAUACGGAGGAUUCAAGCGUCAUCCGGAUUUAUUGGGUUUAAAGGGUGCGUAGGCGGUUUGAUAAGUUAGAGGUGAAAUCCCGGGGCUUAACUCCGGAACUGCCUCUAAUACUGUUAGACUAGAGAGUAGUUGCGGUAGGCGGAAUGUAUGGUGUAG